UUUGUGUCAAAUGUGAUGUCGUAAGGGAAAAUAAUGAUAUUACCUUACUAAUAGUGUCGUCUAAAACAGGUGCCAGAAGACUCGGUAAGGCCUGAGACACAAAUGUUAAUCGUCUUAAUCAGGCGUAAAGGGUUUGUAGGCUGCUUUGAAAAUAUUAACUUAAUAUAGUCAUACGUACCCACCCCUCCCUCCCUACCCACUCAUCGAACCAAUCAUCUUCGAUGAAAGGGAUGAUGAAAGGGAUAGGAUGCGGAUGGUGGGUGCAGUAAAUUAAUAUCAAUUAAAGCUAGAAUCUAAUAGAGGAUAUUUACGAAAUAAUGCUUGGUCGAGGGCUGAUAUCCGAAGACACCAAGUGGAGUGCAAAUGGCGUAAGCAUUUAUCCAUUAAAGAUUGACGCUGAGAAACGAAGGUGAGGAUAGGAAAUAGGAUUAGAUACCCAGGUACCCCUCUCUGUCAACGAUGAAUGGUAGUUUGUUAGUCUCUUUAAAGACUAGUGACGAAGUUAACACGUUAACCAUUCCGCCUUGUGAGUACGACUGCAAAGUUGAAAACAAAAAAAUUAGGUCGGUCUCGGAGCAAACGAAGUGAAGUUGU
RNAcentral lists this ribosomal RNA (594 nucleotides) under Steccherinum weishanense. Its description in RNAcentral is "Steccherinum sp. JD-2023d partial small subunit ribosomal RNA". It matches the Rfam family "Bacterial small subunit ribosomal RNA", at positions 418 to 945 of the family's 1533-position model. Lineage: Eukaryota; Fungi; Basidiomycota; Agaricomycetes; Polyporales; Steccherinaceae. The record is from RNAcentral.